UCGGGAAUUUUGGGCAAUGGGCGAAAGCCUGACCCAGCAACGCCGCGUGAAGGAUGAAGUAUUUCGGUAUGUAAACUUCGAAAGAAUAGGAAGAAUAAAUGACGGUACUAUUUAUAAGGUCCGGCUAACUACGUGCCAGCAGCCGCGGUAAUACGUAGGGACCAAGCGUUGUUCGGAUUUACUGGGCGUAAAGGGCGCGUAGGCGGCAAUUCAAGUCAUCUGUGAAAUCUCCGGGGCUUAACUCGGAACGGUCAGAUGAUACUGCUUUGCUAGAGUGCAGAAGGGGCAAUCGGAAUUCUUGGUGUAGCGGUGAAAUGCGUAGAUAUCAAGAGGAACACCUGAGGUGAAGACGGGUUGCUGGGCUGACGACUGACGCUGAGGCAC
RNAcentral lists this ribosomal RNA (384 nucleotides) under uncultured bacterium. Its description in RNAcentral is "bacterial SSU rRNA". It matches the Rfam family "Bacterial small subunit ribosomal RNA", at positions 355 to 754 of the family's 1533-position model. The record is from RNAcentral.